CAAGUGUCACUUUAUUGAGGUUCAACUUCA
Molecule: non-coding RNA, 30 nt
Filed under: Mus musculus (house mouse)
Lineage: Eukaryota; Metazoa; Chordata; Mammalia; Rodentia; Muridae
Source: RNAcentral